Molecule: ribosomal RNA, 109 nt
Filed under: Tenacibaculum sp. MAR_2009_124
Lineage: Bacteria; Pseudomonadati; Bacteroidota; Flavobacteriia; Flavobacteriales; Flavobacteriaceae
Source: RNAcentral
UAAGGUGAUUACAGCAAUGGGGCUCACCUCUUACCAUUCCGAACAGAGAAGUUAAGCCCAUUUGCGCCGAUGGUACUGCCACAGGUGGGAGAGUAGGUCGUUGCCUUUC